AAGCCUGGCCAAGAACAGGUCAUGACUAUCUAAACAGGAAAUAAGCAAAAGGAAACAAAGGAUAAAAGAAAAGAAAUGAUAAAACUAAAGAAGUAACUAAAAGGAAAGUGAAAAACCCAAGGAUGAACUCUGUGUAACAUUCGACCCUAGAGAUUCACCCCUAAACUUGGACAUUCAGCUCAUCUAAAUUGUUGCUGCUCUGUUGGAAAUCAACCAGAUUGACCUCAGAAGGUACGAGCCUAAGGGAGGCGGACAAUGUGGUAACCAAGUUGGUGCCAAGUUUUUGGAAGGUUUUUGUGCCAAACACGACAUUGAUUCUACCGGUCUUUACAGUGGUGAUUCUAAUCUCCACUUGAAAGAAUUAAUGUGUAUUACAACGAGGUUACCAGUGGAAGAUUUGUUCCUAGGGAUGUUCUUAUGGAUUUAGAGCACCAUGGACAAUAUUUGAUCUGGUCCUUAUGGACAGACCUUCCAUCGUGAUAACUUUGUUUUUGGACAAGCUGGUGCUGGUAACAAUUGGGCUAAAGUGCAUUACACCAAAGGUGCUGAAUUGAUUGAUGUAGUUCUCGAUCUUGUUCGUAAGGAAGUCGAAAACUUUUCCUGUCUGCCUUCAAGGUUUAAGAGGUAGAAUUGAAUCAAGACUACGUGAAAGCUAAAUGCAUAAUACAUAAAUAUGCCCUUUAACUUGGCUUCGAAUUACUUUUAUGCCCUUUAACUUUGAGUGUGCACAAGUACACACUUAGACUUGUAUGAAGUUGAACAAAUAGACACACAUGUCCGACAUGUAAUCCUACAUAUAAUUUUUUUCCUA
This is a long non-coding RNA of Solanum pennellii, 811 nucleotides long. RefSeq lists it as uncharacterized. The transcript has 3 exons. The record is from RefSeq and is a predicted model, not a curated record. NCBI's taxonomy places the organism in Eukaryota, Viridiplantae, Streptophyta, Magnoliopsida, Solanales, Solanaceae.